AUGGACAUGGGCGAGCUCUUCAACCCAGGCUGCGGCGGGGCGGGCGGCGCCGGCUGCGACUGCGGUGACUGCGAGGAGUGGAGGCGCUACUGCUACUGGAACCACGACCACGGCACCAAGCAGUUCCUCCUCUUCGCCUCCGACGACAAAGAUCAUCUGUGCAUACCGUGGGAGGUCUCAAGCCAGCUGAGAGAUAUGAUCCCCGACUCCGAGCCUAUCAAACUUGAAACUCCUGAUGGUCGCACGUACAGUGUUAAAUUCUUCAAGUUCGGCCGGAUAACUCUUACGACUGGGUGGCGGGGCUUUGUGGAUGCAAAUCACAUAGAAGAGAACAACCCCAUGUUGUUCGUGUACCGUGGGAAUUCAACCUUUAAGGUUCAAAUAUUCAAUUCAUCCGGCCGCGACAAGUUUUUGCCCUGUUCUCAACCACCUUGCAAUCAUCAUGUGCUGAAUGAACAAGUGGUGCCUCAUCCUGGACAUGUUGAUAGCUCAGCCCACUUUGGCUAUACCAUGUUGCCCGGGAGCUUUGUAACCAAAGCACAAGAUGAUAAAUUGCUAGAAUGGGCUAAUACCAUCAAGUCUGAAUUUCCUCUUUUUGUGGCAGCCAUGGACGAGAGCAAUGUCAGCUUGAGCGACUGCCAUGUUUACAUACCACUGAGUCUUGUGGGCCAGUUCAAAGAGGAGGUUGUCAAGAUUGUAGCCCUUGACAAGAGUAUAUACGUUGUUGGAGCAAAGAAGCACAAUGAGGAUCAAAUCGUACUCCAAUCUGGGUGGCAUAGGUUUGUGGCUUCUCAGUGCAUACAACAGAAUGACUUCCUCAUUUUCAUAAUUGAGGGGGAAGCUCGCCUCAAAGUUCUUGUCCUUGACCCAAGCGGUAGUGAGAAAACUUUUGCCAUGGGAAACUCUUCCAAUGCCCAAGAAAAGCCACCACUCCCACCUACAGUUACUAACCAGAGUUCUGACAAUGAACUUACUGACCUGAGUUCUGAUUAUGAAGUCCUGGGAAAAGACACUACAACGUCAAGGAGGGAGCAGAGGCCGCUACGAAGCUGUCGUGCAAAAGCUGAGAAGAUGGGUUCAACAUCCUGCCCUUCUACUAAAUCAGAUCAUAGACACAAAGCUGGCAACUCGAAUGAAGCCGGUAUAGAAGCUCCUAUGCCCAACAAGUCCUACAUAGUGCCCCAAGCAGGGGCGACGAAGCUAACUGUGCAACAGGAGGAGAAAGUUAAGGAGAAGGUCCGGGCGAUUGGAUCUGAAUUCCCUGUCUUUGUGAAGGUGAUGACGGCAUACGAUGUUUCGAAGAUGGCACAUCUGGCCUUCUGCAUGGAGUAUGCUUCGGCGUGUCGUCUCCCGCUCGAACAAACACCUCUCCUACUUAGGCUGGAGGGUAGCAAUAUGCGGUGGAGUAGCGCGCUGAUGAUCCAGCAAAAUAAUAAUGUGAGGCGGAUUUGCUCAUUCUGGCAGGACAUUGUCUCGCAAGCCGGGACGAAGGAGGGAGACAUCCUCCUCGUCGAACUGGCAGGCAGGAGCAGCAGGAGGCUCAGGAUGACGGUCCAUCUGAUCCGCAAGUCGGAAUGCAGCUCUAGCUCUUGCUCUCAAGCAUCUAGUUAG
RNAcentral lists this ribosomal RNA (1611 nucleotides) under Triticum aestivum (bread wheat). Its description in RNAcentral is "partial small subunit ribosomal RNA". Lineage: Eukaryota; Viridiplantae; Streptophyta; Magnoliopsida; Poales; Poaceae. The record is from RNAcentral.